Molecule: long non-coding RNA, 834 nt
Filed under: Neodiprion lecontei (redheaded pine sawfly)
Lineage: Eukaryota; Metazoa; Arthropoda; Insecta; Hymenoptera; Diprionidae
Description: uncharacterized LOC124295528
Source: RNAcentral
UUGCAAUGCCACGUAAGGGGUCUUCUACUCAAGUAAUCAUGGUACUAAUAUCGUUCGAAAUGAUUUCAUACUCUCCGAAAUCACACUGAAAUCAGCAAUAUUAAAAUAAAAUUCUACUUUGUAAUGAUUGGUAGUCAUGAGAAAACGAAAUUAUAUGAAAUCUUAGAAAACGUAACUAAUCAUGAAAUAUUUUAAUCAUGGUGUCAUUAUUUUCUCAGUGAAACACGCCUUGAUGUGACGAGUAUCGGCGAUGAUAAUUCUUCAGUCAACGAUACGUUUAGUCGACUUUAAUGCAGAGUACCGACGACUUUGCCUGUAGUAACGGCUUUCACGGAGGACUGACAUAUAUUCUCCAAUCAACGACUGACAUCAGUCGGUACUAAAGAUCUUUGUACAGAAUUAAAAACAGAAACUCGAGAAAUGGGUUUGCGUCAUGAGUGUAAAAAAUCGCUGAACUAUUAUAAGAAAUGUUUACAAUCAUAGUAUAGCUGAUAGUGUAAACAUGUUAAACUUGUAGGUGCGUCCUUUUAUGUUAGCUUUUUCUGAAUAACGAUAACAGGAUUAGUGGGUAUUUUUGUUUAUGUACAUCAAAAAAUGCUUUAUUUAUGCAAAGAUUGUAGAUCAUACAACAUCAAUCUUCAUUUGUAGUUCGAGCAUUCAUUAAAAGCUUCUGAUGACAUCUAAGUCCGCUGGAUUUGGCAGCAUUGUUUAGAAAUCUGGAACAUAAAAAAAUAUCUCCCGGCGACCCAACUUACCGUACAAUCCAAAAAAUCUGGCUGAACCAUUAUUAAGCUACGAUCAGUAUGUGGUUGAGGAACAAGAUCCUUAAGUAUC